RNAcentral lists this ribosomal RNA (408 nucleotides) under uncultured bacterium. RNAcentral describes it as "partial 16S ribosomal RNA". It matches the Rfam family "Bacterial small subunit ribosomal RNA", at positions 28 to 526 of the family's 1533-position model. The record is from RNAcentral.
GACGAACGCUGGCGGCGUGCUUAACCCAUGCAAGUCGAACGAAGUGGCGAACGGGUGAGUAACGCGUAAUCAACCUGCCCUUCAGAGGGGGACAACCGUUGGAAACGACUGCUAAUACCGCAUACUGAAGGAGGGGAUUGCGUCUGAUUAGGUAGUUGGCGGGGUCACGGCCCACCAAGGCGAUGAUCAGUAGGCGGUAUGAGAGGAUGAACGGCAACAUUGGGACUGAGACACGGCCCAGACUCCUACGGGCGGCAGCAGUGGGGAAUCGUCCGCAAUGGACGAAAGUCUGACGGAGCAACGCCGCGUGAGUGAUGACGGCCUUCGGGUUGUAAAGCUCUGUUAAGCGGGACGCGGUACCGGAAUAGAAAGCCACGGCUAACAACGUGCCAGCAGCCGCGGUAAUUC